CUACGGGUGGCUGCAGUGGGGAAUAUUGCACAAUGGAGGAAACUCUGAUGCAGCAACGCCGCGUGGAGGAUGACACUUUUCGGAGCGUAAACUCCUUUUAUAUAGGAAGAAGAUGACGGUACUAUAUGAAUAAGCGCCGGCUAACUCCGUGCCAGCAGCCGCGGUAAUACGGAGGGGCAAGCGUUACUCGGAAUCACUGGGCGUAAAGAGCGUGUAGGCGGAUUAAAAAGUCAGAAGUGAAAUCCUAUAGCUUAACUAUAGAACUGCUUCUGAAACUGUUAAUCUAGAAUAUGGGAGAGGUAGAUGGAAUUUCUGGUGUAGGGGUAAAAUCCGUAGAGAUCAGAAGGAAUACCGAUUGCGAAGGCGAUCUACUAGAACAUUAUUGACGCUGAGACGCGAAAGCGUGGGGAGCAAACAGGAUUAGAUACCCCCGUAGUC
RNAcentral lists this ribosomal RNA (438 nucleotides) under uncultured bacterium. RNAcentral describes it as "partial 16S ribosomal RNA". It matches the Rfam family "Bacterial small subunit ribosomal RNA", at positions 339 to 795 of the family's 1533-position model. The record is from RNAcentral.